Molecule: ribosomal RNA, 423 nt
Filed under: uncultured bacterium
Lineage: Bacteria
Description: bacterial SSU rRNA
Rfam family: Bacterial small subunit ribosomal RNA
Source: RNAcentral
AAGACCUUGCGCUUUGGGAGCGGCCGAUGUCUGAUUAGCUAGUUGGUGGGGUAAAGGCCUACCAAGGCGACGAUCAGUAGUUGGUCUGAGAGGACGACCAGCCACACUGGGACUGAGACACGGCCCAGACUCCUACGGGAGGCAGCAGUGGGGAAUUUUGGACAAUGGGCGCAAGCCUGAUCCAGCAAUGCCGCGUGAGUGAAGAAGGCCUUCGGGUUGUAAAGCUCUUUCAGCCGGGAAGAAAAGGUUGCGACUAAUAAUCGCAAUUCAUGACGGUACCGAAAGAAGAAGCACCGGCUAACUACGUGCCAGCAGCCGCGGUAAUACGUAGGGUGCGAGCGUUAAUCGGAAUUACUGGGCGUAAAGGGUGCGCAGGCGGUUUUGUAAGUCAGAUGUGAAAUCCCCGGGCUUAACCUGGGAACU